UGGUUAAAUUAAUAAGGGCGUAUGGUGGAUGCCUUGGCAUUAGAAGACGAUGAAGGACGUGACUAACUACGAUAUGCUUCGGGGAGCUGUAAGUAAGCUUUGAUCCGGAGAUCUCCGAAUGCGGGAACGCACUUGCAGUAAUUUGCAAGUAUCGUACAGUGAAUACAUAGCUGUAUGAGGACAACCCUGUGAACUGAAACAUCUUAGUAGCAGGAGGAAAAGAAAGAAAAUUCGAUUCCCUUAGUAGUGGCGAGCGAAAAGGGAAAUAGCCCAAACCAAUCUUCGGAUUGGGGUUGUAGGACUUCCUAUACGGAGUUACAAAUCUACUAGAUAGCAGAAUAACCUGGAAAGGUUAGCUGUAAAGAGUGAAAGCCUCGUAUGCGAAAUUUAGUAGACUCUUGGAAGUAUCCUGAGUACGGCGGGACACGUGGAAUCCUGUCGGAAUCUACCGGGACCAUCCGGUAAGGCUAAAUACUCUCUAAUGACCGAUAGUGAACAAGUACCGUGAGGGAAAGGUGAAAAGAACCCCGGGAGGGGAGUGAAAUAGAUACUGAAACCAUAUGCUUACAAAAAGUUCGAGCGCGUUAAUGCGUGAGAGCGUGCCUUUUGCAGAAUGAGCCGGCGAGUUAUGGUAUUGUGCAAGGUUAAGUGGCAAACACGGAGCCGAAGCGAGAGCGAGUCUGAAUAGGGCGCUUAGUACAAUGCUGUAGACCCGAAACCGAGUGAUCUAGCCAUGAGCAGGCUGAAGUAAGGGUGAAACCUUAUGGAGGGCCGAACCAGGACACGUUGUAAAGUGUUUGGAUGACUUGUGGCUAGCGGUGAAAUUCCAAUCGAACUCGGAUAUAGCUGGUUCUCCCCGAAAUAGGUUUAGGCCUAGCCUUGGAUUAAUGCCCACUGGAGGUAGAGCACUGAAUAUGGAAUGGCUGCGUCUAGCGGUACUGACUGUAAUCAACCUCCGAAUGCCAGUGAUAGUAGAUCCAGGAGUCAGUGUAUGAGGUGAUAACGUCCAUACGCGAGAGGAAAAUAAUCCAGAUCAUCAGCUAAGGUCCCAAAAUAUAUGUUAAGUGGAAAAGGAUGUGGGAACGCACAAACAGCUAGGAGGUUGGCUCAGAAGCAGCCACCCUUCAAAGAGUGCGUAAUAGCUCACUAGUCGAGUGUUCCUGCGCCGAAAAUGUACCGGGGCUAAACAUAUUACCGAAGCUAUGGAUUUGUAUUUAUACAAGUGGUAGGGGAGCGUUCUAAGGGCGCUGAAGGUAGAUCGUGAGGACUACUGGAGCGCUUAGAAGUGAGAAUGCCGGUGUGAGUAACGUAAGGAGGGUGAGAAUCCCUCCCACCAAUCGACCAAGGAUUCCAGGGUACGGUUCGUCUUCCCUGGGUUAGUCGGGACCUAAGAUGAGGCCGAGAGGCGUAGUCGAUGGACAACAGGUUCAUAUUCCUGUACCAGCUAUGUGACUGAUGGAGUGACGGAGAAGGAUAGUGAGAGCCUAUUAUUGGAUUUAGGUUUAAACACAAAGGUUUGUGCGUAGGCAAAUCCGCGACACUAUUAAGACUGAAGUGCGAUGACGACAGUUUCUACGGAAACUUAAGUCUCAUGACUCCAUGCUUCCAAGAAAAACUUCUAAAGAUAUUGCAUAGUUGUCCGUACCAAGAACCAACACAGGUGGUCAAGGAGAGUAUCCUAAGGUGAGCGAGAUAACCAUGGGUUAAGGAACUCGGCAAAAUUGCCCCGUAACUUCGGGAUAAGGGGAGGUCACUUCGGUGACCCACAGAAAAGAGACCCAAGCAACUGUUUACCAAAAACACAGGUUUCUGCAAAAUCGUAAGAUGAUGUAUAGGAGCUGACGCCUGCCCAGUGCUGGAAGGUUAAGAGGAUGCGUUCGGUGGACGUAAGUCGAUAACACCAAAGCGUUGAAUUGAAGCCCCAGUGAACGGCGGCCGUAACUAUAACGGUCCUAAGGUAGCGAAAUUCCUUGUCAGGUAAAUUCUGACCCGCACGAAAGGCGUAAUGAUUUGGGUGCUGUCUCAACCAUGGACUCGGUGAAAUCUUAAUACCUGUGAAAAUGCAGGUUACCAGCGACAGGACGGAAAGACCCCAUGGAGCUUUACUGUAGCUUGAUAUUGGAUUCAGGAAGUUUUUGUAGAGGAUAGGUGGUAGACUUUGAUGCGUAGGCGCCAGUUUACGUUGAGUCGACCUUGGAAUACCACCCUUAAGCUUUUUGAAUUCUAACUUACUCCCGUUAUCCGGGAGGAGGACAGUGUCUGGUGGGCAGUUUGACUGGGGCGGUCGCCUCCCAAAAAGUAACGGAGGCGCCCAAAGGUUCCCUCAGGUUGGUCGGAAAUCAACCUUCGAGCGUAAUGGUAUAAGGGAGCUUAACUGCGAGACCCACAAGUCGAGCAGGUGCGAAAGCAGGGCAUAGUGAUCAGGCGGUUGAAUAUGGAAUUGCCGUCGCUUAACGGAUAAAAGUUACCCUGGGGAUAACAGGCUGAUACCACCCAAUAGUUCACAUAGACGGUGGUGAUUGGCACCUCGAUGUCGGCUCGUCACAUCCUGGAGGUGGAUUCGCUUCCAAGGGUUGAGCUGUUCGCUCAUUAAAGUGGCACGCGAGCUGGGUUCAGAACGUCGUGAGACAGUUCGGUCCCUAUCCGUCGUUGGCGUAGGAAAAUUGAGGAGAGCUGUUCCUAGUACGAGAGGACCGGAAUGGACAAACCUAUGAUGUAUCAGUUGUCACGCCAGUGGCACCGCUGAGUAGUUAUGUUUGGACGGGAUAACCGCUGAAAGCAUCUAAGCGGGAAGCCUCCUCCAAGAUGAAUUUUCCCAUAUUUUAUAUAGUAAGUGUCCUUGUAGACUACGAGGUUGAUAGGCUAGAGGUGGAAGCGUAGUGAUACGUUGAGCUGACUAGUACUAAUAACACGAGGAUUUAAUCCCAAUU
Molecule: ribosomal RNA, 2930 nt
Filed under: Bacillota bacterium
Lineage: Bacteria; Bacillati; Bacillota
Description: 23S ribosomal RNA
Rfam family: Bacterial large subunit ribosomal RNA
Source: RNAcentral